Molecule: ribosomal RNA, 254 nt
Filed under: uncultured bacterium
Lineage: Bacteria
Description: partial 16S ribosomal RNA
Rfam family: Bacterial small subunit ribosomal RNA
Source: RNAcentral
GACGAACCGUGCGAACGUUAUUCGGAAUCACUGGGCUUAAAGCGCGUGUAGGCGGGUGGGCGCGUCGGCCGCUGAAAGCCCCCGGCUCAACCGGGGAAGCGGCGCCGAAACGGCCGGCCUGGAGGGGGGUAGGGGGACCUGGAACUUCCGGUGGAGCGGUGAAAUGCGUUGAGAUCGGAAGGAACGCCCGUGGCGAAAGCGAGGUCCUGGACCCUUUCUGACGCUGAGACGCGAAAGCCAGGGGAGCGAACGGG